Molecule: transfer RNA, 74 nt
Rfam family: tRNA
About the family: Transfer RNA (tRNA) molecules are approximately 80 nucleotides in length. Their secondary structure includes four short double-helical elements and three loops (D, anti-codon, and T loops).
Source: Rfam
GCACCCGUAGCUCAGCUGGAUAGAGCGCUGCCCUCCGAAGGCAGAGGUCACAGGUUCGAAUCCUGUCGGGUGCA